Protopterus annectens (West African lungfish) is the source of this 137-nucleotide long non-coding RNA. RefSeq lists it as uncharacterized. The record is from RefSeq and is a predicted model, not a curated record. NCBI's taxonomy places the organism in Eukaryota, Metazoa, Chordata, Ceratodontiformes, Protopteridae. The transcript is spliced from 3 exons.
AGAGAGCCUCUCUAGUGUAAUGCAGACAUCUCUCAGAGUGUAUGUUCACUAAGUCUGGUAUGCACAUUGGUGGUUCUACUGUUGAGUUGGAAGAGAGAGCCUCUCUAGUGUAAUGCAGACAUCUCUCAGAGUGUAUG